Molecule: long non-coding RNA, 902 nt
Organism: Leptopilina heterotoma
Lineage: Eukaryota; Metazoa; Arthropoda; Insecta; Hymenoptera; Figitidae
Exons: 4
Source: RefSeq, a predicted model, not a curated record
UCUCGUCUCGGUGGUGUUGCACAUGAACAUACAGUCAAACUUCCCAGGGCGCAACCCCUCGCCAAUCGCCAAACAGCAGCUGCAGCUGACACUGCAUAAACGAAAGCUUGUUCCCUCGUUCCUAUUAGGGAGAUUCAAAAGUGAAAGGACGCAUUAUUUUGUAAGAAAAAGAAAAGGAUAUUCACACAACCGUUUUUUUUUUGAGAAGACAGGCGUGUCGAAUGGGAGAAUUGACACUUAUGGAAGAAGCUACUUUAUUUCACUGAUAAUAGACCGGAUUCCAGAAAUCGAUAAUUUACAUGAAUAAAAAAAAACAAGAGUCAAAAUUCGUCUCGACUUCGAACAAAAUAUAAUAUGGCGAGUCUCGAGAAUAAAUAAAUAUUAAUAUAUUAAAUUAUAUUUUGGUUUUACGCCUCAACACGCAAAAUCACCAUCAAUCGAUCAUUCAUCAUUCUUCAUUCCGGUCCAACAUCGCAAGAUUCACCUUCAAUCUUAAAGAAAAUUACUUUCAACACGAUUCGUUUAUUCCCACAGGAUUCAUCUCAAUUUCGCGAAGAAAAUUAUUUGCCAAUUGGAUUUCGCGGUAAAUUGAUUACAACUGCGGGCCACAUUGAAUGAAAUCGUCAUCGUGGCCUCACACGACGGUGGCUAAAGGAGUAUAUGUAGAAGAAGAAAUUAUGAUUCAAGAAAGUAUCGUUCAUUUUCAAUUUUUUCUCUUAUUUUUCCUUUUAUUUUUGCUUUCCCCCCGCCAAAGAAACUAUUUGUCUCUCAUUAACGAGCCUACAUUAAUCAUUCCCUCUUUCAAUGUGAGGCGCCGUGUAUACAAGAAUACAUCGAGAAAACUCGUUAUCUAUAAAGAACAAAGAAUCGAAAAACCCGUUAGUGAGCGCAUGAUUCAUUUA